Triticum aestivum (bread wheat) is the source of this 1892-nucleotide RNA transcript. It is a transcript of the gene named serine carboxypeptidase-like 51, with no coding region annotated. The transcript has 14 exons. NCBI's taxonomy places the organism in Eukaryota, Viridiplantae, Streptophyta, Magnoliopsida, Poales, Poaceae. The record is from RefSeq and is a predicted model, not a curated record.
UAACGGGAUGGGACGGUGAGGCGCCGCCUAUUUAGACUGUUGCUGGCCACAGUACGUGCCACUCGCACUCAGAAACCACAAGCCACUCGCCACAUGGAAAUGGACAAGCACGGUCGACCUCUGCUUGCUCUGCUUUCGCUACUCCUCUGCAUCUCCCUGCUCCGGGCCAGCUCGGCGGCUUCCGUCACCGCCGGCAACCCCGACGGCACGGAGCUCUGGGGAUUCGUCGAAGUCCGACCAAAGGCCCACCUGUUCUGGUGGUACUACAAGAGCCCCCAGAGGGUGUCGACGCCGUCCAGGCCAUGGCCGACCGUCCUCUGGCUACAGGGCGGUCCCGGAGCGUCGGGGGUGGGCAUCGGCAACUUCAUGGAGAUCGGGCCCCUCGACGUCAACCUGAAGCCUCGAAACUCGACGUGGCUGCAGAAGGCCGACCUCAUCUUCGUGGACAACCCUGUGGGGGUCGGGUACAGUUACGUUGAGGACGACAGCCUGCUGGUGACGACUGACUGGCAGGCGGCCACGGACGCCACCACGCUGCUCAAGGCGCUCGUCAAGGAGCUGCCCACCCUGCAGCAGGGGAGCCCCCUCUUCCUUGUCGCCGAGUCCUACGGCGGAAAGUACGCGGCCACACUCGGCGUCUCCGUCGCAAGGGCCGUCCGUGCCGGCGACCUCAAGAUCAAGCUCGCAGGCGUCGCGCUCGGGGAUAGCUGGGUCUCGCCGGAGGAUUUCACGCUCGCUUACGCGCCGCUGCUCCUGGAGGUUUCGAGGCUCGACGACAACGCCGGCGACGCCGCCAAGAAGAAGGCGGCGACGGUGAAGGAGCAAAUCGCGGCCGGGCGGCUGGCCGACUCGCAGGGGUCGUGGUCGGAGCUGUUGGAUUUCAUUGACUCCAAGAGCGCCAGCGUCGACAUGUACAAUUUCCUGCUCGACGCCGGCAUGGACCCGGUGGCGGCGGACCUACCGGCGACCUCGUCGGCUCCGACGACGUCGAGCAACGCGCAAGUGAUGAAGUACUCGACGUACCUCGGCGGCAGCCAUGAGGAAGCCGGCUCCAACACCACCAACACCCUCGGCGGCAUCAUGAACGGGGUCAUCAAGGAGAAGCUCAAGAUCAUCCCCAAAGACCACGAGUGGCACGAGCUGUCCGAUCCCGUCUACAACGCGCUGGUCAACGACUUCAUGAAGCCACGGAUCGACGAGGUUGACGAGCUGCUGUCUUACGGUGUAGAUGUCACGGUUUAUAAUGGCCAGGGCAUCGUCUGUGUGUGGUUAGAGGGCGCUCUUAAUGUUCUCGACGUGAUUUGCUCGACCAAGGGCGCGGAGGCAUGGGUGCAAAAGCUCAAAUGGGACGGGCUGAAGAACUUCCUGAGCCUGCCGCGGCAGCCUCUGUCCUGCGGAUCAUCCAAGGUCACCAAGGCCUUCGUCAGGUCCUACAAGAACCUGCAUUUCUACUGGAUCCUCGGCGCUGGCCACUUCGUGCCUGCCGACCAGCCUUGCAUUGCGCUGAGCAUGAUCGCUGGCAUAACCCACUCUCCAGCCGGCUAGGUGAGGAGGAGGACCCGGAUCAGAUCCUGUCUGCCGGGUAGGAAAAGGAAACUGAAGAUAGAAGUAUAGAAAGAAAGGUUGUGUGUACUUUAAAGGGCGAUGAAAUUGAUUGUAAGACAUUUGUAGAAAUGCGAUGUUCAAACAUCUCACACAGCGGUACAAAAGGCGAAAAGGUAUAACAUCAAAAUGGAAAGAACAUCUCCAACAACAGCCCUAUUUUAGGGCACCAAAAAGCUGUUGCAGUAAAAUUUAGAGGCACCAAAAGGUGAAUUUUAGGGCAUUCGAAAAUGUUCAUCUCCAACAACUGCCCUAAAAUAGGACACUUCAAACAUGCAAUGUUUAUACUA